RNAcentral lists this transfer RNA (93 nucleotides) under Gredgaria maugeana. RNAcentral's name for it is "tRNA-Ser". It matches the Rfam family "tRNA". From Rfam's summary of the family: Transfer RNA (tRNA) molecules are approximately 80 nucleotides in length. Their secondary structure includes four short double-helical elements and three loops (D, anti-codon, and T loops). The record is from RNAcentral. Lineage: Eukaryota; Rhodophyta; Florideophyceae; Ceramiales; Rhodomelaceae.
GAGAAGAUGGCUGAGUGGUUGAAAGCGUCAAUUUGCUAAAUUGUUAUAUUGAUUGUUAGAUUAAUAUCAUAGGUUCAAAUCCUAUUCUUCUUC